This 407-nucleotide ribosomal RNA is filed under the name uncultured bacterium. Its description in RNAcentral is "partial 16S ribosomal RNA". It matches the Rfam family "Bacterial small subunit ribosomal RNA", at positions 31 to 526 of the family's 1533-position model. The record is from RNAcentral.
GAAGAACGCUGGCGGCGUGCCUAAUACAUGCAAGUAGAACGCAGUCGCGAACGGGUGAGUAACGCGUAGGUAACUGCCUCAUAGCGGGGGACAACUAUUGGAUACGAUAGCUCAUACCGCAUACUGUGAGAUGGACCUGCGUUGUAUUAGCUAGUUGGUGCGGUAACGGGUCACACAGGCGCCGAUACAUAGCCGACCUGAGAGGGGGAUAGGCCAGCCGGGGACGGGGAGACGACCCAGACGCGGACGGGAGGCAGCAGUAGGGAAUAGUCGGAAAUGGGGGGAAGUCUGACCGGGCAACGUCGCGGGAGGGAAGAAGGUUAUCGAAUCGUAAAGCUCUGUUGUUAGAGAAGCGGUAACUAUCCAGAAAGGGACGGCUAACUACGUGCCAGCAGCCGCGGUAAUAC